Molecule: ribosomal RNA, 377 nt
Filed under: uncultured bacterium
Lineage: Bacteria
Description: bacterial SSU rRNA
Rfam family: Bacterial small subunit ribosomal RNA
Source: RNAcentral
UAAUACAGAGGGGGCAAGCGUUGUUCGGAAUUACUGGGCGUAAAGGGCGCGUAGGCGGCCUGCUAAGUCGAACGUGAAAUCCCUGGGCUCAACCCAGGAACUGCGUCCGAUACUGGUUGGCUUGAAUCCGGGAGAGGGAUGUGGAAUUCCAGGUGUAGCGGUGAAAUGCGUAGAUAUCUGGAGGAACACCGGUGGCGAAGGCGACAUCCUGGACCGGUAUUGACGCUGAGGCGCGAAAGCCAGGGGAGCAAACGGGAUUAGAUACCCCGGUAGUCCUGGCCCUAAACGAUGAAUGCUUGGUGUGGCGGGUAUCGAUCCCUGCCGUGCCGAAGCUAACGCAUUAAGCAUUCCGCCUGGGGAGUACGGUCGCAAGGCUG